This 426-nucleotide ribosomal RNA is filed under the name uncultured prokaryote. RNAcentral's name for it is "bacterial SSU rRNA". It matches the Rfam family "Bacterial small subunit ribosomal RNA", at positions 355 to 796 of the family's 1533-position model. The record is from RNAcentral.
UGGGGAAUUUUCCGCAAUGGGGGCAACCCUGACGGAGCAGCGCCGCGUGAGGGAGGAAGGCCUGUGGGUUGUAAACCUCUUUUCUCAAGGAAGAAGUACUGACGGUACUUGAGGAAUCAGCAUCGGCUAACUCCGUGCCAGCAGCCGCGGUAAGACGGAGGAUGCAAGCGUUAUCCGGAAUUAUUGGGCGUAAAGCGUCCGUAGGCGGCUGUUCAAGUCUGCUGUUAAAGGCCAGGGCUCAACUCUGGAUAGGCAGUGGAAACUGAGCAGCUAGAGAGCGGUAGGGGUAGAGGGAAUUCCCAGUGUAGCGGUGAAAUGCGUAGAUAUUGGGAAGAACACCAGUGGCGAAGGCGCUCUACUGGGCCGUUACUGACGCUGAUGGACGAAAGCUAGGGGAGCGAAUGGGAUUAGAUACCCCGGUAGUCC